This 397-nucleotide ribosomal RNA is filed under the name uncultured bacterium. RNAcentral describes it as "partial 16S ribosomal RNA". It matches the Rfam family "Bacterial small subunit ribosomal RNA", at positions 523 to 918 of the family's 1533-position model. The record is from RNAcentral.
AUACGUAGGGGGCGAGCGUUGUCCGGAAUGAUUGGGCGUAAAGGGCGCGUGGGCGGCCCGGUAAGUCUGGAGUGAAAGUCCUGUUUUUAAGAUGGGAAUUGCUUUGGAUACUGUCGGGCUUGAGUGCAGGAGAGGUAAGUGGAAUUCCCAGUGUAGCGGUGAAAUGCGUAGAGAUUGGGAGGAACACCAGUGGCGAAGGCGACUUACUGGACUGUAACUGACGCUGAGGCGCGAAAGUGUGGGGAGCAAACAGGAUUAGAUACCCUGGUAGUCCACACUGUAAACGAUGAAUGCUAGGUGUAGGGGGUAUCGACCCCUUCUGUGCCGCAGUAAACACAGUAAGCAUUCCGCCUGGGGAGUACGGUCGCAAGGUUGAAACUCAAAGGAAUUGACGGGG